CAACCGAAGAGAGAGCACCAAGAUGCAGAAGUGCAAACAAUCAAGAACAAGGAUGAUCAAUGAUGCCCUAGCUUCGAGAGAAAGAGAAGAGGAGUGCUCUUGGGAGAAAGAGCUUUUAUCUUUUUUCUAUAUUCAGCAUACAAUCAAUCCUUGACCUAGUUACAUGUAUAUAUAUCUAUACAAAAAGAUCAAGCCCAAAGCUCAACAAAAUUUUUAAAUAGCUAACCCAAUGUGAUGCACUCUCCCAGCCC
This 251-nucleotide long non-coding RNA is filed under the name Elaeis guineensis (African oil palm). RNAcentral describes it as "long non-coding RNA (EGUI_LNC036995)". Lineage: Eukaryota; Viridiplantae; Streptophyta; Magnoliopsida; Arecales; Arecaceae. The record is from RNAcentral.